Molecule: transfer RNA, 62 nt
Filed under: Yangisunda tiani
Lineage: Eukaryota; Metazoa; Arthropoda; Insecta; Hemiptera; Cicadellidae
Also listed under: 1 other name
Description: tRNA-His
Source: RNAcentral
AUUAAAGUAGUUUAUAUAAAAUUAGGAGUUGUGAUUUCCUAGAAUCUUGUUAGACUUUAAUU